CCGGCACGGGUGAGUAACACGUAUCCAACCUGCCGUCUACUCUUGGACAGCCUUCAGAAAGGAAGAUUAAUACAAGAUGGCAUCAUGAGUCCGCAUGUUCACAUGAUUAAAGGUAUUCCGGUAGACGAUGGGGAUGCGUUCCAUUAGAUAGUAGGCGGGGUAACGGCCCACCUAGUCUUCGAUGGAUAGGGGUUCUGAGAGGAAGGUCCCCCACAUUGGAACUGAGACACGGUCCAA
Molecule: ribosomal RNA, 237 nt
Filed under: uncultured bacterium
Lineage: Bacteria
Description: partial 16S ribosomal RNA
Rfam family: Bacterial small subunit ribosomal RNA
Source: RNAcentral